CCACCACCCCCCCGGCGAGUACGGGAGUGCGGGUAGCGGUAAGGGAGCGGCAGCAGGGGCUGCGCGUUUCCUUACGUCUCGGGUUGCCGGUUAACGGGGGGUAAGUAACAUUCGCUGCCUCCGUAGGCAAUGAUGAGCUUUGAGGAGAGUGGUAAUUUUAAAAAGGAAAUGUCUUCUCAUCAGCGCGUCCUUUGUUCCAAAUGUAUUCUGAAGGGAAAUCAGGAAAUGAAAGAAAGGAACAUUGCGUUUUGGUUCUGACUUUAAGGAAGGAGACGUGCCCACCGAUAGUUAUUAAUCAUCAGUAAUGUACUUAGAAACAUACGUGUCUUUAAACUGCUCUUCAAAGUUGGCACGGGGACCGAUGAACUGCGCUCCCUAGAAAACGGGAAGUUCAGAUCCAGACUUUCCCUUCCUUCGUCUUUCAAUACAGGUAUAUCCCUGGUAAACCGUGGUUUGUUAAGCAAUAAAUUCAAGAGUCAAAUACAGGUGGAACUGCUGCAGUGCCUCAGCAUCACAGCUGCCUCCGUGUGCUAAGUGCUGCAGACCCACUAGGGCGUGCAGGCACUGCUCUGCUGAAAUACCACUCGUGGUCCUACUUGAUGCCUUUGUUACACAGAGCCGUGUAGCGAUCUGUGGGUUCAGUGAGGUAACCUAAUGUAGGCAGGCCAGCCCCCCAGGAAGAUGCUCACUGAGUGAGCAGAGCUGGAAAGGACUUUCAUGCAGAAAUACCUGACGAGUGCAGAGAUCAGGUGAGAACAUGCAGAUGCAGCCUGCUUGGGUGGGGGUGGGCAGUACAGCCUUGCAGUUGAGAUCGAGGAAAUGCUUGGUUGCAGCUCACUAAUGUUACUCUGUUUUUCAGUGAUACCUUUUCGAGUCCUGAAGAAGUCUACCGCAAGCAGCGAGCAGAUAGUAUAGUACUCUUGGCCACUUUGGGCUAGAGAAUCACUUUGGUUUUUCCAGCCUCUACUGCCUUCAUUUCUGACCUGUGAUUUCACCAGAUGGCGAACAACAUAACUGUAUUUGUGGGGAAUACAAAGAUUGGCUGAUAGGUAAUGGAGGACGCCUGUUGUUUACCCACACUUGCAUCAUUGUGCACCUGAAAUAUACAAAAGCAUGUGGAAGCUGCUUUGACCAUCCAUGUAGGGCCAUGACAUACACAAGAACUGAUUAAAAUGAAGGUUUUUGGUCGGCAUCCAUAUACGCAAACCAAAGAUGGAAGAGCUGCAUCUCAAAUAUCCAACUGUGUUCCUACUCAGCAAUGCCAGGGGUUAGAGUAUUUCUCUUGCUGUUUUACAUCCCAGACUUGGUACGAGCAAGCACAGAUGUGUCUUUUGUGCAGGAGAGGGAAGGAAGAGAGAGCCAAAUGAAAAAUCCUGAAUGACAACAUCUCCAAGUAUCACAGCAGUACCUUCUAAAGCUGGAAGAUAAAGCUGAUGAGGUGGUUACCAUGGCUACAGAAGCGGCAUAUUUGAAUGAAAAUUGAUUUUAAGCUUUUAAAUGCUAAUUGCAUCUGUGAACAGGUGACAUUUGAAAUAUCUUUUUCUCCCUCCUCCCUCCCCCCAUAUGUUGCAGAGUAUAAUGAGUGAAAGAAGAGGGUGACAAAGGUGACAACACACUGUUAAAUUAGAACACUGAUACAGUCUUCAACACUAAAGUAUGUCACACCAUUUGCUUGUGUAGUAGUACAAGUAAUAAGUGAACACAUAUAUAGAUCACAGUGUCUGAGGAGCAGAAACUGUCUAGAACCCAAUUAAUAUAUUUUUCAUGGUAUUGUGAAAAAUUAAACAGCUUUAUUUAAAUUAAUCACCAGAACAAUUGUUUCUGGUAGCUCAUAAUAAAGAGGCUAUUAAAACUUACCAUUCAGAAACUGCUAUAAAUUCUCAGUGAUGAGGAAGCUUUGCAAAUGCCUGGAAUUAGAAGCAUUUCUUAUUUCACUCUGUACACUGGGAAAUAAAGUUGAACUUCUACACAGUAGUAGACUCAGACUAGGGAACCAAGAUGCUGUGUAGACUGGUGUUACUGUGCAACUGCUGCUAAUUGCUGUCACACCACUGUCUGACCACACUCAGGCUGUAGUUGCAGAAGACAUAGAAGGUGUAAUUUACCUCACUGUAAGCAUAGUUUUAAUAUGAUCUGAAAGCUCUUUAACUUGCAGUGGGUUACAUUCCACUUGUUAGCGCUUGCUUUUCGAAACACUCUUGAUAUGAUUACUGUUUAAGACAUGAUCAGUUGUAAUGCAGAUUUAUAUUUUGUUAAAUUAAUUGUAAAAUUGUAAAUAAAAAUUGUAAAUCUGUGAGGGG
This is a long non-coding RNA of Gallus gallus (chicken), 2300 nucleotides long. The record is from Ensembl. NCBI's taxonomy places the organism in Eukaryota, Metazoa, Chordata, Aves, Galliformes, Phasianidae.